This 484-nucleotide ribosomal RNA is filed under the name uncultured bacterium. Its description in RNAcentral is "partial 16S ribosomal RNA". It matches the Rfam family "Bacterial small subunit ribosomal RNA", at positions 29 to 507 of the family's 1533-position model. The record is from RNAcentral.
AUUGAACGCUGGCGGCAUGCUUUACACAUGCAAGUCGAACGGCAGCGCGGGCUUCGGCCUGGCGGCGAGUGGCGAACGGGUGAGCAAUACAUCGGAACGUGCCCAGUAGUGGGGGAUAGCUCGGCGAAAGCCGGAUUAAUACCGCAUACGACCUGAGGGUGAAAGCGGGGGAUCUUCGGACCUCGCGCUAUUGGAGCGGCCGAUGGCAGAUUAGCUAGUUGGUGGGGUAAAGGCCUACCAAGGCGACGAUCUGUAGCUGGUCUGAGAGGACGACCAGCCACACUGGGACUGAGACACGGCCCAGACUCCUACGGGAGGCAGCAGUGGGGAAUUUUGGACAAUGGGCGAAAGCCUGAUCCAGCAAUGCCGCGUGUGUGAUGAAGGCCUUCGGGUUGUAAAGCACUUUUGGCGGGAACGAAAAGGACUGUGCCAAUACCACGGUUCGAUGACGGUACCCGCAGAAUAAGCACCGGCUAACUACGUG